ACUCCUACGGGAGGCAGCAGUGGGGAAUAUUGCACAAUGGGCGCAAGCCUUGAUGCAGCCAUGCCGCGUGUGUGAAGAAGGCCUUCGGGUUGUAAAGCACUUUCAGUUGUGAGGAAAGGUUAGUCGCUAAUAUCGGCUAGCUGUGACGUUAGCAACAGAAGAAGCACCGGCUAACUCCGUGCCAGCAGCCGCGGUAAUACGGAGGGUGCGAGCGUUAAUCGGAAUUACUGGGCGUAAAGCGCAUGCAGGUGGUUUGUUAAGUCAGAUGUGAAAGCCCGGGGCUCAACCUCGGAAUUGCAUUUGAAACUGGCAAACUAGAGUACUGUAGAGGGGGGUAGAAUUUCAGGUGUAGCGGUGAAAUGCGUAGAGAUCUGAAGGAAUACCGGUGGCGAAGGCGGCCCCCUGGACAGAUACUGACACUCAGAUGCGAAAGCGUGGGGAGCAAACAGGAUUAGAUACCCUGGUAGGAUAGCGU
This 475-nucleotide ribosomal RNA is filed under the name uncultured bacterium. RNAcentral describes it as "bacterial SSU rRNA". It matches the Rfam family "Bacterial small subunit ribosomal RNA", at positions 335 to 800 of the family's 1533-position model. The record is from RNAcentral.